RNAcentral lists this ribosomal RNA (484 nucleotides) under uncultured bacterium. RNAcentral describes it as "partial 16S ribosomal RNA". It matches the Rfam family "Bacterial small subunit ribosomal RNA", at positions 30 to 507 of the family's 1533-position model. The record is from RNAcentral.
AUUGAACGCUGGCGGCAGGCCUAACACAUGCAAGUCGAGCGGAUGAAGGGAGCUUGCUCCUGGAUUCAGCGGCGGACGGGUGAGUAAUGCCUAGGAAUCUGCCUGGUUGUGGGGGAUAACGUCCGGAAACGGGCGCUAAUACCGCAUACCUCCUGAGGGAGUACGUGGGGGAUCUUCGGACCUCACGCUCUCAGAUGAGCCUAGGUCGGAUUAGCUAGUUGGUGGGGUAAAGGCCUACCAAGGCGACGAUCCGUAACUGGUCUGAGAGGAUGAUCAGUCACACUGGAACUGAGACACGGUCCAGACUCCUACGGGAGGCAGCAGUGGGGAAUAUUGGACAAUGGGCGAAAGCCUGAUCCAGCCAUGCCGCGUGUGUGAAGAAGGUCUUCGGAUUGUAAAGCACUUUUAGUUGGGAGGAAGAGCAGUAAGUUAAUACCUUGCUGUUUUGACGUUACCAACAGAAUAAGCACCGGCUAACUUCGUG